Molecule: ribosomal RNA, 600 nt
Filed under: Staphylococcus aureus
Lineage: Bacteria; Bacillati; Bacillota; Bacilli; Caryophanales; Staphylococcaceae
Description: bacterial SSU rRNA
Rfam family: Bacterial small subunit ribosomal RNA
Source: RNAcentral
UUUAUGGAGAGUUUGAUCCUGGCUCAGGAUGAACGCUGGCGGCGUGCCUAAUACAUGCAAGUCGAGCGAACGGACGAGAAGCUUGCUUCUCUGAUGUUAGCGGCGGACGGGUGAGUAACACGUGGAUAACCUACCUAUAAGACUGGGAUAACUUCGGGAAACCGGAGCUAAUACCGGAUAAUAUUUUGAACCGCAUGGUUCAAAAGUAAAAGACGGUCUUGCUGUCACUUAUAGAUGGAUCCGCGCUGCAUUAGCUAGUUGGUAAGGUAACGGCUUACCAAGGCAACGAUGCAUAGCCGACCUGAGAGGGUGAUCGGCCACACUGGAACUGAGACACGGUCCAGACUCCUACGGGAGGCAGCAGUAGGGAAUCUUCCGCAAUGGGCGAAAGCCUGACGGAGCAACGCCGCGUGAGUGAUGAAGGUCUUCGGAUCGUAAAACUCUGUUAUUAGGGAAGAACAUAUGUGUAAGUAACUGUGCACAUCUUGACGGUACCUAAUCAGAAAGCCACGGCUAACUACGUGCCAGCAGCCGCGGUAAUACGUAGGUGGCAAGCGUUAUCCGGAAUUAUUGGGCGUAAAGCGCGCGUAGGCGGUUUUU